RNAcentral lists this ribosomal RNA (396 nucleotides) under uncultured bacterium. RNAcentral's name for it is "partial 16S ribosomal RNA". It matches the Rfam family "Bacterial small subunit ribosomal RNA", at positions 523 to 918 of the family's 1533-position model. The record is from RNAcentral.
AUACGUAGGUGGCAAGCGUUGUCCGGAAUUAUUGGGCGUAAAGCGCAUGUAGGCGGUGCCUUAAGUCUGUCGUGAAACUGCGGGGCUCAGCCCCGUAUGGCGAUGGAAACUGGGUUACUUGAGUGCAGGAGAGGAAAGGGGAACUCCCAGUGUAGCGGUGAAAUGCGUAGAUAUUGGGAAGAACACCGGUGGCGAAGGCGCCUUUCUGGACUGUGUCUGACGCUGAGAUGCGAAAGCCAGGGUAGCGAACGGGAUUAGAUACCCCGGUAGUCCUGGCCGUAAACGAUGGGUACUAGGUGUGGGAGGUAUCGACCCCUUCCGUGCCGGAGUUAACGCAAUAAGUACCCCGCCUGGGGAGUACGGCCGCAAGGCUUAAACUCAAAGGAAUUGACGGGG